This 92-nucleotide transfer RNA is filed under the name Candidatus Sungiibacteriota bacterium. RNAcentral's name for it is "tRNA-Ser". It matches the Rfam family "tRNA". Rfam says of the family: Transfer RNA (tRNA) molecules are approximately 80 nucleotides in length. Lineage: Bacteria; Candidatus Sungiibacteriota. The record is from RNAcentral.
GGAGGCGUGUCCGAGCGGCUUAAGGAAGCGGUUUGCUAAACCGCGGGGGUCUAAAAAGCCCCACGGAGGUUCGAAUCCUCCCGCCUCCGCCA